Long non-coding RNA from Capsicum annuum, 707 nucleotides. RefSeq lists it as uncharacterized. The transcript has 2 exons. The record is from RefSeq and is a predicted model, not a curated record. NCBI's taxonomy places the organism in Eukaryota, Viridiplantae, Streptophyta, Magnoliopsida, Solanales, Solanaceae.
GCCUAGCUACAAAUUCAUGGACAAGGCAACUGGGGAAUCUGAUGAACAUAUUUUAUAAAAGGUCAUUAACGAAAUGGAAUUGCCAAGGGAUAAGUAAGUUACCCCCAUUUCCUGGCCCUAGAAAAAGCAACACAGGCCAUAGCAAAAAAAUCAUAGGAUAUGCCGAUUCUCCAGUGGUUUAUUCCGUCUCUUAAACUGAUAAGGAAUAUCUAUAAAAGCGUGGAAGCGCUCUUUUGUGAUGAAGCAGAAGCCAAAAAAAAAAUGAGAAAAAAGAGGGUGAAUGAUAUAAUAAGGGAAAUAGUGAUAGGGCGACUCUCUAUUGGCAUGCAGUUAUGUAUUCACCACAUAUUUCAACUGUCACGCCAAAGGAGAGCUGCCCUAUUACUAUCUCUACUUAAUCCUAAUAUGAAAAUUGUUGCUCUUGAUUCUAUAGAUUCUCAAACAGCGUAGCCAACUAGUAAUGUCACACCAUUACAAGAACAGCUAUAAAAGUCGGAGGAAAUCCAAUAUCGGUUGUAGUUUAAGUUAGGUGGAACAGCAGUGGUGGAAACCUAGGGCGGAUGCAGCUUUAUGUUACAAUUUAUUCAUCUGAAUAAUGUGGAGAAAAAAAUUAUGUAUAAAAAUUUACUCAUGAUCAAUUUGUAACAAAUAUACAUGAAGCCAUGUAUUUAAAGAUAUAAUAGUUCAAUACAAGAACUAUAAAAAUU